UCAGUUUGCAGACAGUAAACACGGGUCUAUUUUAUUUAGAACGAGUCUUUUAAUGCAUUUCAAGUACUCCAAAAAAUUACAUCUCUUUGCACAAUACAAUUUGAAAUGUUUUUGUUUUUUUUAGUAAAAAUGUUCAAAGUGAACAAAAGAAAAAAAAGAAAAGAAAAUGUUGGAUACUGUAUAAAACACAGUGAACAAUAAAAUCAGACAGCAGUUUAACUUUUUAAUCUCGUGUUCGUUCGGCCUACAUCACCUAAGACAUUUCAACUCAAUUUGGACAUUUUCAGUGCACGUUGAUCUAAAACCUUUACCAAGACUAUGAAAUUAAAAAGAGAAAGUAAUUUUACAGGCAUUAUUCUUCUGCUCUUCUACCCAAACCAUGCCACAGAAUAAGACAAAGAAAAAGGAGAAUGUAACACUAACUCCAUCACAGAUUCAUAGGUUUAUUUUUUCUUCCCUCUAUUGAUGACGGUGGUGAAAAGCAUAAGCAAAGUGCAGUUCAACUAGCGCAUAGAAGAACUUAAAUAACUUAGAAAAUAGGAAAAGAAAAAACAAACAUAACUUCUGAACCAGUUUUCUCUGGAAUUAGGAAGAGAAAUGUUAUCAAAAUGUAUUUUUUCUUUAUCAAAUAAAAUGCAAUUUCCCUCCCCCAACAAGUACUGUACAAGUUUACAAGUUAAUUCUGUCAAAUGUGGCCCGAGACGUGAAUUAAAAAAAAAAAAAAGAUGCAAUUUGUACAUAAAUAAGAGGUUCUAACAGCCCGCCUUCCCAGUUCCCUCUGUGGUUUCUUCCAGAGCACAUGUGAUGAUGAGCGACAGUGGUUUCAGAAUUAUUGAAUUUGCAUGCAUAAAAAAAAAAUGUUUUAAAUCAAUAAAGCCAGAGUACAGAAAAUGUUUCCUUACGUUAUACAUCGUUUAAGAAAAGAAAAAAACCCACACAAACACAUCACAGAAGGAACUAAAGCUACACAAUUCCUUAACUCCUUGGCACUCCUUAAAAGAAAAGAAUUAAAAGAAGAAAAAAAACAAGAUAAAGAUGGAAAACACUUGAUUCCACUGCGCUGGAAAUGGCUGAUGGUCAGGUCCGCUCUCCAAAGAGCCAAUCAAGUUGCUAGGUAUUGUUUUUGUCUCCUUUAAACGUCUGGUUUGUCUGUAGUGGA
RNAcentral lists this long non-coding RNA (1159 nucleotides) under Oryzias sinensis (Chinese medaka). RNAcentral's name for it is "lncRNA (ENSOSIG00000016709.1)". The record is from RNAcentral. Lineage: Eukaryota; Metazoa; Chordata; Actinopteri; Beloniformes; Adrianichthyidae.